CCUACGGGAGGCCGCAGUAGGGAAUAUUGCUCAAUGGGGGAAACCCUGAAGCAGCAACGCCGCGUGGAGGAUGAAGGUUUUCGGAUUGUAAAGUCCUGUUGUUAGAGAAGAAAAUGACGGUAUCUAACGAAUAAGAAGCGGGGAACUCCGUGCCAGCAGCCGCGGUAAUACGGAGGGGGCAAGAGUUACUCGGAAUAACUGGGCGUAAAGAGCGCGUAGGGGGGAUAGCAAGUAUGAUGUGAAAUCCCAUGGCUUAACCAUAGCACUGCAUUUGAAACUCUUAUUCUAGAGUAUCGGAGAGGUAGGUGGAAUUCUUUGUGUAGCGGUUAAAUCCGUA
Molecule: ribosomal RNA, 337 nt
Filed under: uncultured bacterium
Lineage: Bacteria
Description: partial 16S ribosomal RNA
Rfam family: Bacterial small subunit ribosomal RNA
Source: RNAcentral